CUGUAAGCCUGUGAAGGUGGCCUGUGAGGGUUGCUGGAGGUAUCAGAAGUGCGAAUGCUGACAUAAGUAACGAUAAAGCGGGUGAAAAGCCCGCUCGCCGGAAGACCAAGGGUUCCUGUCCAACGUUAAUCGGGGCAGGGUGAGUCGACCCCUAAGGCGAGGCCGAAAGGCGUAGUCGAUGGGAAACAGGUUAAUAUUCCUGUACUUGGUGUUACUGCGAAGGGGGGACGGAGAAGGCUAUGUUGGCCGGGCGACGGUUGUCCCGGUUUAAGCGUGUAGGCUGGUUUUCCAGGCAAAUCCGGAAAAUCAAGGCUGAGGCGUGAUGACGAGGCACUACGGUGCUGAAGCGACAAAUGCCCUGCUUCCAGGAAAAGCCUCUAAGCAUCAGGUAACAU
This 395-nucleotide ribosomal RNA is filed under the name Escherichia coli. Its description in RNAcentral is "partial 23S ribosomal RNA". It matches the Rfam family "Bacterial large subunit ribosomal RNA", at positions 1241 to 1637 of the family's 2925-position model. Lineage: Bacteria; Pseudomonadati; Pseudomonadota; Gammaproteobacteria; Enterobacterales; Enterobacteriaceae. The record is from RNAcentral.